GAUGAACGCUGGCGGCGUGCUUAACACAUGCAAGUCGAACGGAAAGGCUCCUGCUUGCAGGGGUACUCGAGUGGCGAACGGGUGAGUAACACGUGGGUGAUCUGCCCUGCACUUCGGGAUAAGCCUGGGAAACUGGGUCUAAUACCGGAUAGGACCACAUUUUGGAUGGUGUGGUGGAAAGAUUUUCGGUGUGGGAUGAGCUCGCGGCCUAUCAGCUUGUUGGUGGGGUAAUGGCCUACCAAGGCGUCGACGGGUAGCCGGCCUGAGAGGGUGUACGGCCACAUUGGGACUGAGAUACGGCCCAGACUCCUACGGGAGGCAGCAGUGGGGAAUAUUGCACAAUGGGCGCAAGCCUGAUGCAGCGACGCCGCGUGGGGGAUGACGGCCUUCGGGUUGUAAACUCCUUUCGCUAGGGACGAAGCGCAAGUGACGGUACCUGGAGAAGAAGCACCGGCUAACUACGU
RNAcentral lists this ribosomal RNA (464 nucleotides) under uncultured bacterium. Its description in RNAcentral is "partial 16S ribosomal RNA". It matches the Rfam family "Bacterial small subunit ribosomal RNA", at positions 28 to 506 of the family's 1533-position model. The record is from RNAcentral.